GACGAACGCUGGCGGCGUGCUUAACACAUGCAAGUCGAACGGAAAGGCCCUGCUUUUGUGGGGUGCUCGAGUGGCGAACGGGUGAGUAACACGUGAGUAACCUGCCCUUGACUUUGGGAUAACUUCAGGAAACAGGGGCUAAUACCGGAUAGGAGCUCCUGCUGCAUGGUGGGGGUUGGAAAGUUUCGGCGGUUGGGGAUGGACUCGCGGCUUAUCAGCUUGUUGGUGGGGUAGUGGCUUACCAAGGCUUUGACGGGUAGCCGGCCUGAGAGGGUGACCGGCCACAUUGGGACUGCGAGACGGACCAGACUCCUACGGGAGGCAGCAGUGGGGAAUAUUGCACAAUGGGCGGAAGCCUGAUGCAGCAACGCCGCGUGCGGGAUGCCGGCCUUCGGGUUGUAAACCGCUUUCGCCUGUGACGAAGCGUGAGUGACGGUAAUGGGUAAAGAAGCACCGGCUAACUAUGUG
RNAcentral lists this ribosomal RNA (468 nucleotides) under uncultured bacterium. RNAcentral's name for it is "partial 16S ribosomal RNA". It matches the Rfam family "Bacterial small subunit ribosomal RNA", at positions 28 to 507 of the family's 1533-position model. The record is from RNAcentral.